UAGGGAAUAUUGGGCAAUGGACGCAAGUCUGACCCAGCCAUGCCGCGUGCAGGAAGACGGCGCUCAGCGUUGUAAACUGCUUUUAUCUGGGAAGAAAAGACGUUCUGCGGAAUGUUGUGACGGUACCAGAGGAAUAAGCACCGGCUAACUUCGUGCCAGCAGCCGCGGUAAUACGGAGGGUGCAAGCGUUGUCCGGAUUUAUUGGGUUUAAAGGGUGCGUAGGUGGCUUUUUAAGUCAGACCUGAAAGUGGGCCGCUUAACGGCACAGGGUGGUUUGAUACUGAAGAGCUUGAAGAGGGUGGAGGCCGCCGGAACGGAUCGUGUAGCGGUGAAAUGCAUAGAGAUGAUCCAGAACCCCGAUUGCGAAGGCAGGCGGCUACGCCCCACUUGACACUGAGGCACGAGAGCAUGGGGAGCAAAC
Molecule: ribosomal RNA, 421 nt
Filed under: uncultured bacterium
Lineage: Bacteria
Description: bacterial SSU rRNA
Rfam family: Bacterial small subunit ribosomal RNA
Source: RNAcentral